GACGAACCGUGCUAACGUUGUUCGGAAUCACUGGGCUUAAAGGACGCGUAGGCGGCCCACCAAGUCAGGGGUGAAAUCUUUCGGCUUAACCGGAAAAGUGCCUUUGAUACUGGUGGGCUCGAGCGAGGUAGGGGCAGAUGGAACUUCGGGUGGAGCGGUGAAAUGUGUAGAUAUCCGAAGGAACGCCGGUGGCGAAAGCGAUCUGCUGGACCUCUUCUGACGCUGAGGCGCGAAAGCCAGGGGAGCAAACGCG
This 253-nucleotide ribosomal RNA is filed under the name uncultured bacterium. RNAcentral's name for it is "partial 16S ribosomal RNA". It matches the Rfam family "Bacterial small subunit ribosomal RNA", at positions 524 to 776 of the family's 1533-position model. The record is from RNAcentral.